Molecule: ribosomal RNA, 449 nt
Filed under: uncultured bacterium
Lineage: Bacteria
Description: partial 16S ribosomal RNA
Rfam family: Bacterial small subunit ribosomal RNA
Source: RNAcentral
AACGAACGCUGGCGGCAUGCCUAACACAUGCAAGUCGAACGAAGGCUUCGGCCUUAGUGGCGCACGGGUGAGUAACGCGUGGGAAACUGCCUAUUGGUGGGGAAUAACGACGGGAAACUGUCGCUAAUACCGCAUAAGCCCUUCGGGGGAAAGAUUUAUCGCCGAUAGAUGUGCCCGCGUCCGAUUAGCUAGUUGGUGAGGGAAUGGCUCAACAAGGCGACGAUCGGUAGCUGGUCUGAGAGGAUGAUGAGCCACACUGGGACUGAGACACGGCCCAGACUCCUACGGGAGGCAGCAGUGGGGAAUAUUGGACAAUGGGCGAAAGCCUGAUCCAGCAAUGCCGCGUGAGUGAUGAAGGCCUUAGGGUUGUAAAGCUCUUUCGGGUGGGACGAUGAUGACGGUACCACCAGAAGAAGCCCCGGCUAACUUCGUGCCAGCAGCCGCCGUAA